Haliaeetus leucocephalus (bald eagle) is the source of this 3125-nucleotide RNA transcript. It is a transcript of the gene named ubiquitin-conjugating enzyme E2Z, with no coding region annotated. The transcript has 8 exons. The record is from RefSeq and is a predicted model, not a curated record. Lineage: Eukaryota; Metazoa; Chordata; Aves; Accipitriformes; Accipitridae.
CUCCGCCUUUUGGGACCCCACCGUCAGCGGCGACUGGGACAGCGAACGGCCCAGCCCGGCCUGUCUCCUGCGGAUCAAACGGGAUAUCAUGUCCAUUUACAAGGAACCGCCCCCGGGAAUGUUUGUUGUGCCUGAUCCCCACGACAUGACCAAGAUUCAUGCAUUGAUCACAGGCCCAUUUGACACGCCUUAUGAAGGGGGUUUCUUCUUGUUCCUGUUUCGCUGUCCUCCAGAUUAUCCCAUCCACCCACCAAGGGUCAAACUGAUGACAACGGGAAAUAACACAGUGAGGUUUAACCCCAACUUCUACCGCAAUGGGAAAGUCUGCCUGAGUAUCCUAGGCACUUGGACCGGGCCUGCGUGGAGCCCAGCACAGAGUAUCUCUUCAGUCCUCAUCUCCAUCCAGUCUCUGAUGACUGAGAACCCCUACCACAAUGAACCCGGCUUUGAGCAGGAGAGGCACCCCGGGGACAGCAAGAACUAUAAUGAGUGCAUUCGGCAUGAGACCAUCCGAGUAGCAGUUUGCGACAUGCUGGAAGGAAAGUGUCCCUGUCCUGAGCCAUUACGGGGCGUAAUGGAGAAGUCCUUCAUGGAAUACUACGACUUCUAUGAAGGGGUGUGUAAAGAGAGACUUUAUCUCCAAGGACAGACAAUGCAGGAUCCUUUUGGUGAAAAACGAGGCCACUUUGACUAUCAGUCCCUAUUAGUGCGUUUGCAAGGAAUUCGGCAGAAGGUGCAAGAGAAACACCAGCAGGAGAAUACAGAAAUAGACUCUGAGAGCAGCUCCUCUGAGACAGAGACAGACACUCAAGGUUGCUCUAAAGCUUAGAGCUGUGUUAACAGUGGAGAGGCCAAGCCGUGGGGAUGUUCUGUCUUCACACUCUAGAGUACCCCUGACAGACUCGACAACCAAACCAAUGCCAGAGCAGAAAAAACUGCGGGAUAUCUUCUGUCUCCUUUUACUGCUCUGGUGGAUAACGCUGAACGAGAAGACUUCAUGCUAGACAAAGCCAAGCUUGUGGCAGGCUACUCUUAAAAGGUACUUACUAUGCUAGAAAGCCGGAGCAUGUGGCAUCAGGUUAUUUUUUGGAAACACCUACACUGGUUGUGGUUUUUUUUUUCUUUCUCUCCAUUUGAUUAAAGAAUGAGAUCUAGACUGCGAAUCCUCUUUACAGCUUUUCUGUUCCUAGACAGUGGGCCCUUCCCUGGGGCCAUGCUGAAUGUGGAGCUGUAGCUGUGGGAGCGCUUUGAUGAGUCCAGGGUAUGACAGGGCCCAUGCACCGUGUGCCCAGGCGAAACCUUUUUUGUGCGGGUUGGGAGAGAUGGAGCCUCUCUGCUCUAUGGAGCCCAUUUACCUGAUGUCUUUCUUCUAGACACUGUUCUAGACAGACCAAAGAUAAAGAGCAGUGGUGGAAUCUGGGCUCCUUUCUGAAAGCUUUACUCACGCCCUGGGUGACUUCGUCCACUGAGACUUCAGGCGCAAAGGGGCAGAUGAAAAGUGGAAACUGCAAGAAUCCAUAAAUUGAGUGCAGGUGUGUUCAUCCUGGCAUUUUGGGGAAGGGAGGGUGAGAAAACCAUUGGUCAGAGAUGGGGGGAGCACUUAAAAAUAAAUCUAGUUUGUGUAUUUUUUUUUUUCCAAGUGUUGAUUUGAAUUUAGUAUUCUAGACAUACUUUAUUCUGGCUGCUCUGAAUGGAGCUGUUUUGUUUCCUUAACUGAAGUACUCUUUGCUUUCCACCUCUCUACUCAGUGUAAUAUUUUAUUUUCCUCCCUUCUUCCUCCUGUCACCUCACUCCCUGCUGCUACCUUGAUCCAUCAGAUUGAAACGCUAGAGUAAGGGGCAGUUCUAGCUAAGGAAGCCACUGUUUCUGGCUGGAGUUCUUCGGAGGUGUACGCCUUGUUACUGACAAAUUCCUUUGCCAAACUUGGCCGAGCGCAAGCUAGCUGAGUGUCAUAAAGUUUAACACUUCAGUGCAUUGACCGUUUUAAACAGCAGCUUUUUACUGUGAGCGAAGGCCGGCCUCUUGGAGAGGUGUCUGCUGGCUGCGAGUGCCAUUACAUCAAAAGAUGUAUUCGGUGUAACUUGGGUGGAGGUGAAAUACCCAGUUUCUCCAGUAUUUUUAUGGGAGCUUUGAUAGAAAGCUAAGCACAAAGUUGCACAUUGUCCUGGGCCCUCUCCCAGUUUCCUUAAACACCUUCCCACCAGCUUGGCCCUGUUUCAGACUCCUGAUGGUGGUGGGAGAACUUCCAAUGCAGUCAUCUUUGUUCUAAAAAAAGUGCAGAAAGAGGGGCCAAAAGACCCCUGCCGUAUGCUGUACAGAAAGGCAAUGCCCCAUGCGUCACUAAAUUAUUUUCAGUCUCUGUGAUUUAUAUCAACUCUUGCAGAACUUAAAAGCCUGCACACUGCUGCUUCAGCAGCUCUGAAAAGCUGAAAGGUGGAAACAUUUCUGAAUUGUUAAGGUGCCGUUUAACAACUUGGGAACCUUUUUUCCCUUUAGCAAGCAAACUCCCCUGGGUCUGUCAUUGGCUUGAUUUAGACUUAAACCCUGUCUUCCCUUGAGGGAAAGCCGAACUUACACAGGACUCGCUCAAUACAUACACCAGAUGAGAGUAAAUAAUGCGGUGUUCACCUUGAAAUGAGGUCUUAGGGAGGCAGCGGAGUCUCCCGAGAAGUCAUGAGCUGUGUGCUACUUCACCGCCUCUUUAAUCCCAUUGUAAAUGUCACGUUGUUUUUCACCAUUCAGUAGCAUUGUGGGUAGAGCUGUGACUCUGCUGCCUUCCCAAGGCAGAGCUGGUUCUGAAAUCUGUUUGUGAUGCAUGUGGCGUUACCAUCCACCGAUACAACAAAACAAGAAAAUGCCUUAUUGUGGACACUAUUCACAUAACUAGCAUGUGGCUGUAAAAGAAAAGUAUUAGUUUUAUAGCUCUAAUGUUGUCUGUCCUACCAUUUCUGAAUGUUUCCAUUUCAAAGUGACAAUCCUCAAAUGACUGCUCUAGGCAGAGAUGUUUUAGCAACAGAUUUUUAGACCUAAUUGAGUUGAAAAUAUAUGCACAAGAGUCACUCUAAGAUACCUUGUUUAUAUACUAUUGUACAUAAGAUUUUUUUUGUGCAAUAAAGUUUGUUUUG